Molecule: long non-coding RNA, 1281 nt
Filed under: Ursus thibetanus thibetanus
Lineage: Eukaryota; Metazoa; Chordata; Mammalia; Carnivora; Ursidae
Description: lncRNA (ENSUTTG00000016245.1)
Source: RNAcentral
AUGUCCCUUCCAGCGGUCAGCCGCAGGGGACAAGACCAAAAGGCCGGGGAAAACGGGAUCCGACGGGUCGCAGGACGCCGUCGGAGCCCGCGGGAGAGCGAUGCAUCGCAUAUUGCCGAUCCCCCGGCCAUUUAUUCGCUGCCCGACGCUCAGAGAGCAGCCGCGGCCCGUACCCGCCCGGCGCGCCCCGACGACGGCACCGCCCGGCCGGCCGGCCACGCUCGUCCCGCUGAGGCUUGGCGGUCCCGGCGCGCCCCGAGACGUCAGCACGCGGCCGGCCAAUCCCGCCCCCGCCGUGGCCCAGUCGGUCCGCCCACUCCUCGCUCCUCCGCCUCCCUUCUCGAACAGCCCGGCCGCUUCUCGGAGCCGCUGAGUCACGGUGAGGCGGCUCCGCGCAGGCGCACUCGGCCGGCCGCGGGGCGCGGGAAAGCUGAGUCACGGCGGCGAGGCCGCGGCCGUGUGGAGAGGCGGCCUCACGGGAACCCGCGCUGGGAGAAGGCCCGAGCCCGCGCCGCAGAGGGGCCACCGCGAGAGGUGUCACCAUGCAAGGGGAUGGUCACCUGGAUCGAGGCAUCAGGCUGCUACGCGCGAUGGAGAGGAGCACGCAGCAGUGUAAGUCUUAGAGCGCCACAAUCCGGGGGGCCCGGUGCGGGACCACACUGCUACUUCAGAAAUAGACGUUUGGCCUGCUAGAUCUUCAGGACUAAACUACAUUAUUCUUCGAGACCAGCAUUCCUCUUUUUCUUCUAUCACGGUUGAUUUUCCGUUUUACAUGCUCCUGGAAGACACUGGAGAAGUAGAGCUGCAUCUCGUAGCCAAUGCACCAGGAAGUCAGACCCAUUUGACUCCUGCCACCAAGCGGUUAGAGGCAAGCAUGACAGCAAACCAGACUGGACUGGGCAGGCCCCAGAGGGAUGAAGACACUGAGCCAGGCUUGACGUUCCCGUGCGUGAAGCACAGCCACUUAACCUCGUUUCCAGAGCGCGGCAUGCCUGCUGUGCCGCACAUGUUUCCAAACCCAAGUCGGGCUUUUUAUGGGUGUGGUUCGAGGUUGUCUCAACCACCUGCAGACCGGGCUGGUUGUCAGAAUUACUGUGGGUGUUUUAAAACGUAGAAAUGCCAAGGCCCCAUCUCAGCCUAAUGAAUUAGAAUUUCCAGGAUUGAAACCCAGGCCUCUGUAUUUUAAACAUUUCAACAGGUUGGGAGCCACCGUGCUGAGCUGUAAGUUGAGCACUGUAGUGCCUGCUGUGGGCACAUGGCUGGUGCAUGGAAAGUGCACAG